UAUCCUCCUGAUCUGGUAGAAAUCAAGGCUGAUGAACCCUUUCUUGAAGGUGACAAAGGCAUUUUGCAUUGUAAGGCAAUAAAUGAAUAUCCAGAAAAGUACAGCUACAGGUGGGAUCCAAGUAACAAAACCUCACAAAAUUUCACAUUUCCUCAACUCAAUCGAACACACAAUAAUGAGGUUUACACUUGUUAUGCUUCUAACAAGUGCA
This is a long non-coding RNA of Octopus sinensis (East Asian common octopus), 211 nucleotides long. RefSeq lists it as uncharacterized. Lineage: Eukaryota; Metazoa; Mollusca; Cephalopoda; Octopoda; Octopodidae. The transcript has 3 exons. The record is from RefSeq and is a predicted model, not a curated record.